UUUGCGUGUAAGAGGACAAGUAGCAGUUCCCCAAUCCCCACCCCACCCCCCUUAUUUGGGGUCUUUUAUUUCUCCUUUUUUAUGACGUCUCUCCCUCUUCCCUAUUUUAUGAAUACUCUUUUGCCCGUCAAGCCAUGUCUGCGAAAUCCACAACUGCAAUCCAAGGAGGCCAAGUAAGAACCCUAAUCCAUCUCUUCCAUUUUCUUUUCAUCCUGUUUCUGAUCCGGUCUGAACUUUCUUGCCUUUUUGGCUCUAAAAAAUAAAAAUGAAUUUGAAAUGAAUAUUUUAUCAGGUUGAUCUAUUGGAGCAGUGUAGAAUGUCUCAAUCAAAACACUAGUAUUCCUUCGUUAAUGCUCUUAAACAGGUGACUUAUGGAGGGUUUGUAUCUAGAUUCUGGAGAGUAAUGCGGAUGAACAUGUCCUGAUUUAUAUUCCCUUCUCCUAGGCCAUUAAGGGACCGUUUCAUAACACUUUGGGAUAAUGUUUCUGGUGUUCUUCUAUUAUGUGGACUGUAAAUAGAACAGAAAUAUGUUUGACACGUCCGGUUCAUUUUUGUAUUCCUUCAGAACGAACAAAUGAAAAAGAAUGACUAAAUAAUACAGUGCAAGAGUAAAAAAAAACGUUCCUUCUCUAUUCUUUUACAAACUUAAAAGAACAAAACCAUUCAAAACCCCACAACCACUUUUCUGCAACUCACGAUCAAAAACCCUCAAAUCCGUCGCUUCCCUGCAACAGGUUGUCAUUCUCUCGGUCGCCGCUUCCCUGCAACGGUCGCUCUCUCACGGUCGCCGCUUCGCUGCAACAGUAUCUCCUCUCGGUCGCUUCCCUGUCUCUCUCGGUCGCCGCUUCCCUGCCUCUCUCGGUCGCCGCCGCUUCCCUGCAACUCUCUCGGUCGCCGCUGCUUCCCUGCAACUCUCUCGGUCGCCGUUUCCCUGCAGCAGAGGCAUCAGAGAUGGUAGCAUCUCUACCAUGCCUCUCAUCUAUGCAGACAGACAAAGCUCUAUCUCUAAAUUAACAGGUUUUGAAACUCGGGAGAACAAGACAAAGCCUGUUGUUCAUGGAGAACAAGAAGAUAGUGAUAUUGCUAGUAUUUCUACUACAAUUCAUCAGGGCAGUCAACGUGUACAAGGAAGACAGAUGAAUGAGCUAAGGAUACAAAUUGCAAAUCAUAUGGCAGUAGAUAAGGGUUACCUCUGAUUUGAUUGCUUAUGUAAUAAAAUUUUAAGACACUUCAGCUAUGAUUUUUAUUUUGUAAUUCCUAUAAACUUGAAUAGUAAACUUUUGUUUUCUUAUUAAGAUAAAUGUGGAAACUCUUUAUGCUUA
Long non-coding RNA from Macadamia integrifolia, 1322 nucleotides. RefSeq lists it as uncharacterized. Lineage: Eukaryota; Viridiplantae; Streptophyta; Magnoliopsida; Proteales; Proteaceae. The record is from RefSeq and is a predicted model, not a curated record. The transcript has 2 exons.